RNAcentral lists this ribosomal RNA (467 nucleotides) under uncultured bacterium. RNAcentral describes it as "partial 16S ribosomal RNA". It matches the Rfam family "Bacterial small subunit ribosomal RNA", at positions 28 to 507 of the family's 1533-position model. The record is from RNAcentral.
GAUGAACGCUGGCGGCGUGCUUAACACAUGCAAGUCGAACGGAAAGGCCCAAGCUUGCUUGGGUACUCGAGUGGCGAACGGGUGAGUAACACGUGGGUGAUCUGCCCUGCACUUCGGGAUAAGCCUGGGAAACUGGGUCUAUUACCGGAUAGGACCACUUCUUGGAUGUUGUGGUGGAAAGUUUUUUUGGUGUGGGAUGAGCUCGCGGCCUAUCAGCUUGUUGGUGGGGUAAUGGCCUACCAAGGCGUCGACGGGUAGCCGGCCUGAGAGGGUGUACGGCCACAUUGGGACUGAGAUACGGCCCAGACUCCUACGGGAGGCAGCAGUGGGGAAUAUUGCACAAUGGGCGCAAGCCUGAUGCAGCGACGCCGCGUGGGUGAUGACGGCCUUCGGGUUGUAAACUCCUUUCGCUAGGGACGAAGCGUUUUGUGACGGUACCUGGAGAAGAAGCACCGGCUAACUACGUG